UAUUGCACAAUGGGGGAAACCCUGAUGCAGCGACGCCGCGUGAGUGAAGAAGUAUUUCGGUAUGUAAAGCUCUAUCAGCAGGGAAGAAAAUGACGGUACCUGAUUAAGAAGCCCCGGCUAACUACGUGCCAGCAGCCGCGGUAAUACGUAGGGGGCAAGCGUUAUCCGGAUUUACUGGGUGUAAAGGGAGCGUAGACGGUGAUGCAAGUAAGAAGUGAAAGCCCGGGGCUGAACUCCGGGACUGCUUUGGAAACUGCCUGGCUGGAGUACAGGAGAGGUAAGUGGAAUUCCUAGUGUAGCGGUGAAAUGCGUAGAUAUUAGGAGGAGCACCAGUGGCGAAGGCGGCUUACUGGACUGUAACUGACGUUGAGGCUCGAAAGCGUGGGGAGCAAACAGG
This 397-nucleotide ribosomal RNA is filed under the name uncultured bacterium. RNAcentral describes it as "bacterial SSU rRNA". It matches the Rfam family "Bacterial small subunit ribosomal RNA", at positions 362 to 776 of the family's 1533-position model. The record is from RNAcentral.